Molecule: non-coding RNA, 30 nt
Filed under: Mus musculus (house mouse)
Lineage: Eukaryota; Metazoa; Chordata; Mammalia; Rodentia; Muridae
Source: RNAcentral
UNGGUGAAGGAACUGCUAUAUCAGCUCAAU